RNAcentral lists this transfer RNA (69 nucleotides) under Ablepharus himalayanus (Himalaya ground skink). Its description in RNAcentral is "tRNA-Arg". It matches the Rfam family "tRNA". From Rfam's summary of the family: Transfer RNA (tRNA) molecules are approximately 80 nucleotides in length. Lineage: Eukaryota; Metazoa; Chordata; Lepidosauria; Squamata; Scincidae. The record is from RNAcentral.
AAAUAGUUAGUUUAACAAAAACAUCUGAUUUCGACUCAGAAGUUUCAAGCGAAAACCCUGAACUAUUAU